Molecule: ribosomal RNA, 483 nt
Filed under: uncultured bacterium
Lineage: Bacteria
Description: partial 16S ribosomal RNA
Rfam family: Bacterial small subunit ribosomal RNA
Source: RNAcentral
GACGAACGCUGGCGGCGUGCUUAACACAUGCAAGUCGAACGCUGAAGCUCAGCUUUUGUUGGGUGGAUGAGUGGCGAACGGGUGAGUAACACGUGAGUAACCUGCCUCCUUCUUUGGGAUAACGCCCGGAAACGGGUGCUAAUACUGGAUAUUCACUGGUCUUCGCAUGGGGGUUGGUGGAAAGGGUUUUUCUGGUGGGGGAUGGGCUCGCGGCCUAUCAGCUUGUUGGUGGGGUGAUGGCCUACCAAGGCUUUGACGGGUAGCCGGCCUGAGAGGGUGACCGGUCACAUUGGGACUGAGAUACGGCCCAGACUCCUACGGGAGGCAGCAGUGGGGAAUACUGCACAAUGGGCGCAAGCCUGAUGCAGCGACGCCGCGUGAGGGAUGGAGGCCUUCGGGUUGUGAACCUCUUUCGCUCAUGGUCAAGCCGCAACAAUGGUUGUGGUGAGGGUAGUGGGUAAAGAAGCGCCGGCUAACUACGUG